This 468-nucleotide ribosomal RNA is filed under the name uncultured bacterium. RNAcentral's name for it is "partial 16S ribosomal RNA". It matches the Rfam family "Bacterial small subunit ribosomal RNA", at positions 28 to 507 of the family's 1533-position model. The record is from RNAcentral.
GACGAACGCUGGCGGCGUGCUUAACACAUGCAAGUCGAACGGAAAGGCCCUGCUUUUGUGGGGUGCUCGAGUGGCGAACGGGUGAGUAACACGUGAGUAACCUGCCCUUGACUUUGGGAUAACUUCAGGAAACUGGGGCUAAUACCGGAUAGGAGCUCCUGCUGCAUGGUGGGGGUUGGAAAGUUUCGGCGGUUGGGGAUGGACUCGCGGCUUAUCAGCUUGUUGGUGGGGUAGUGGCUUACCAAGGCUUUGACGGGUAGCCGGCCUGAGUGGGUGACCGGCCACAUUGGGACUGAGCUACGGCCCAGACUCCUACGGGAGGCAGCAGUGGGGAAUAUUGCACAAUGGGCGGAAGCCUGAUGCAGCAACGCCGCGUGCGGGAUGACGGCCUUCGGGUUGUAAACCGCUUUCGCCUGUGACGAAGCGUGAGUGACGGUAAUGGGUAAAGAAGCACCGGCUAACUACGUG